UACCAGCACCCCGAGUGGUCGGGACGUUUAUAGGGCCUAAAGCAUCCGUAGCCGGUUCUACAAGUCUUCCGUUAAAUCCAACUGCUUAACAGGUGGGCUGCGGAAGAUACUAUAGAGCUAGGAGGCGGGAGAGGCAAGCGGUACUCGAUGGGUAGGGGUAAAAUCCGUUGAUCCAUUGAAGACCACCAGUGGCGAAGGCGGCUUGCCAGAACGCGCUCGACGGUGAGGGAUGAAAGCUGGGGGAGCAAACCGG
This 253-nucleotide ribosomal RNA is filed under the name uncultured bacterium. Its description in RNAcentral is "partial 16S ribosomal RNA". It matches the Rfam family "Archaeal small subunit ribosomal RNA", at positions 474 to 727 of the family's 1478-position model. The record is from RNAcentral.